UAGGGAAUCUUCGGCAAUGGACGAAAGUCUGACCGAGCAACGCCGCGUGAGUGAAGAAGGCUUUCGGAUCGUAAAACUCUGUUGUUAGAGAAGAACAAGGACGUUAGUAACUGAACGUCCCCUGACGGUAUCUAACCAGAAAGCCACGGCUAACUACGUGCCAGCAGCCGCGGUAAUACGUAGGUGGCAAGCGUUGUCCGGAUUUAUUGGGCGUAAAGCGAGCGCAGGCGGUUUCUUAAGUCUGAUGUGAAAGCCCCCGGCUCAACCGGGGAGGGUCAUUGGAAACUGGGAGACUUGGGUGCAGAAGAAGAGAGUGGAAUUCCAUGUGUAGCGGUGAAAUGCGUAGAUAUAUGGGGGAACACCAGUGGCGAAGGCGGCUCUCUGGUCUGUAACUGACGCUGAGGCUCGAAAGCGUGGGGAGCAAACAGG
Molecule: ribosomal RNA, 429 nt
Filed under: Chloroflexota bacterium
Lineage: Bacteria; Bacillati; Chloroflexota
Description: Chloroflexi bacterium partial 16S ribosomal RNA
Rfam family: Bacterial small subunit ribosomal RNA
Source: RNAcentral